This 440-nucleotide ribosomal RNA is filed under the name uncultured bacterium. RNAcentral describes it as "partial 16S ribosomal RNA". It matches the Rfam family "Bacterial small subunit ribosomal RNA", at positions 338 to 795 of the family's 1533-position model. The record is from RNAcentral.
CCUACGGGUGGCUGCAGUGGGGAAUAUUGCGCAAUGGGCGAAAGCCUGACGCAGCGACGCCGCGUGAGGGAUGAAGGUCUUCGGUAUGUAAAGCUCCAUCAGCAGGGAAGAAGAUGACGGUACCUGAUUAAGAAGCCCCGGCUAACUACGUGCCAGCAGCCGCGGUAAUACGUAGGGGGCAAGCGUUAUCCGGAUUUACUGGGUGUAAAGGGAGCGCAGACGGCAGUGCAAGUCUGGAGUGAAAGCCCGGGGCCCAACCCCGGAACUGCUCUGGAAACUGUGCGGCUAGAGUACUGGAGGGGCAGGCGGAAUUCCUAGUGUAGCGGUGAAAUGCGUAGAUAUUAGGAGGAACACCAGUGGCGAAGGCGGCCUGCUGGACAGUAACUGACGUUGAGGCUCGAAAGCGUGGGGAGCAAACAGGAUUAGAUACCCUUGUAGUC